This 2172-nucleotide long non-coding RNA is filed under the name Zea mays. RNAcentral describes it as "long non-coding RNA (ZMAY_LNC002830)". Lineage: Eukaryota; Viridiplantae; Streptophyta; Magnoliopsida; Poales; Poaceae. The record is from RNAcentral.
CCCCCCCCCCCCCCCCCUCUCUCUCUGCCUUCUCUAGAUCGGCGAUCCGAUCCAUGGUUACUUGGUUAGGGCCUGCUAACUAUGUUCAUGUUUGCGUUAGAUCCGUGCAUGGACGCGAUCUGUACACACCAGACGCGUUCUGAUUGCUAGCUAACUCGCCAGUACCUGGGAAUCCUGGGAUGGCUGUAGCCGGCCCCGCACGCAGACGGGACCGAUUUCAUGAUUCUCUAUUUUUUUCUUUGUUUCGUUGCCUAGGGUUUCGUUCGAUCGAUCCGCGUUAUUCUUUAUUUCCAUAUAUUCUGGUACGAUGUUGAUACGGUUCGACCGUGCUGCUUACGUUCUGUGCGCUUGUUUGCCGGGUCAUUUUUACCUUGCCUUUUUUGUAUGGUUUGGUUGUGGCGAUGUGGUCUGGUCGGGCUGUCGUUCUAGAUCGGAGUAGAGUGCUGUUUCAAACUGUCUAGCGGAUCUAUUAGAUUUGGAUCUGCAUGUGUGACAUAUAUCUUCGUAGUUAAGAUGAUGCAUCUGUAUGUGUGACAUGCGGAUCUAUUAGAUUUGGAUCUGUAUGUGUGACAUAUAUCUUCGUAGUUGAGAUGAUGCAUCUGUAUGUGUGACAUAUAUCUUCGUAGUUAAGAUUAUGCAUGGAAAUAUCAAUCCUUUAGAUAAGGACGGGUAUACUUGUUGCUGUGGGUUUUACUGGUACUUCGAUAGAUGCAUAUACAUGAUCUAACAUGCUUAGAUACAUGAAGUAACAUGCUGCUACGGUUUAAUAAUUCUUGAGUUGAUUUUUACUGGUACUUAGAUAGAUGUAUAUACAUGCUUAGAUACAUGAAGUAACAUGCUCCUACAGUUCCUUUAAUCAUUAUUGAGUACCUAUAUAUUCUAAUAAAUCAGUAUGUUUUAAAUUAUUUUGAUUUUACUGGUACUUAGAUAGAUGUAUAUAUACAUGCUCAAACAUGCUUAGAUACAUGAAGUAACAUGCUGCUACGGUUUAGUCAUUAUUGAGUGCCUAUAUAUUCUAAUAAAUCAGUAUGUUUUAAAUUAUUUUGAUUUUACUGGUACUUAGAUAGAUGUAUAUAUACAUGCUCAAACAUGCUUAGAUACAUGAAGUAAUAUGCUACUACGGUUUAAUUGUUCUUGAGUACCUAUAUAUUCUAAUAAAUCAGUAUGUUUUAAAUUAUUUCGAUUUUACUGGUACUUAGAUAGAUGUAUAUAUACAUGCUUAGAUACAUGAAGUAACAUGCUACUACGGUUUAAUUGUUCUUGAAUACCUAUAUAUUCUAAUAAAUCAGUAUGUUUUAAAUUAUUUCGAUUUUACUGGUACUUAGAUAGAUGUAUAUAUACAUGCUCGAACAUGCUUAGAUACAUGAAGUAACAUGCUACAUAUAUAUUAUAAUAAAUCAGUAUGUCUUAAAUUAUUUUGAUUUUACUGGUACUUAGAUAGAUGUAUAUACAUGCUCAAACAUGCUUAGAUACAUGAAGUAACAUGCUACUACGGUUUAAUCAUUAUUGAGUACCUAUAUAUUCUAAUAAAUCAGUAUGUUUUCAAUUGUUUUGAUUUUACUGGUACUUAGAUAUAUGUAUAUAUACAUGCUCGAACAUGCUUAGAUACGUGAAGUAACAUGCUACUAUGGUUAAUUGUUCUUGAGUACCUAUAUAUUCUAAUAAAUCAGUAUGUUUUAAAUUAUUUCGAUUUUACUGGUACUUAGAUAGAUGUAUAUAUACAUGCUCGAACAUGCUUAGAUACAUGAAGUAACAUGCUACUACGGUUUAAUCGUUCUUGAGUACCUAUAUAUUCUAAUAAAUCAGUAUGUCUUAAAUUAUCUUGAUUUUACUGGUACUUAGAUAGAUGUAUAUACAUGCUUAGAUACAUGAAGUAACAUGCUACUAUGAUUUAAUCGUUCUUGAGUACCUAUAUAUUCUAAUAAAUCAGUAUGUUUUUAAUUAUUUUGAUUUUACUGGUACUUAGAUAGAUGUAUAUAUACAUGCUCGAACAUGCUUAGAUACAUGAAGUAACAUGCUACUACGGUUUAAUCAUUCUUGAGUACCUAUAUAUUCUAAUAAAUCAGUAUGUUUUUAAUUAUUUUGAUAUUACUGGUACUUAACAUGUUUAGAUACAUCAUAUAGCAUGCACAUGCUGCUACUGUUUAAUCAUUCGUGAAUACCUAUAUAUUC